UUUCUAGACGACAUCAAUUGU
This is a non-coding RNA of Caenorhabditis elegans, 21 nucleotides long. Lineage: Eukaryota; Metazoa; Nematoda; Chromadorea; Rhabditida; Rhabditidae. The record is from Ensembl.